CUAAUUCCAGCCUUCGAGAUGGUCAUGAGGGCCAAGGAGAAUGUCUACCACCUGGACUGCUUCGCAUGCAGCUCUGCAAUCAGAGGUUUUGUGUGGGAGACAAGUUUUUCCUGAAGAACAACAUGAUCCUGUGCCAGACAGACUACGAAGAGGGCCUGAUAAAGGAAGGCUACGCUCCCCAGGUCCGCUGACCCACGUAGGUCAACGAGGAGGAGGAGAAGGAGGAGGAAGAGGAGGAGGAGGAGAGACAGAAAGACCGAAGGAGAGCUUGUAAUCACACAACAAAAAGCACUAUUGCCUCCUGUCCAGCUCCUGUCCCCCAUAUGUACAUAACGAAGCAAGCCUCCCUGGGAGGGGACACACUGCUGUACAGAAUAGCCAUAGAGACGCCAGUGUGGCAGGGGAAAGGCCCCGGAAACCUCCAACAAACUACAAGUAUGAAAAAAAUAGUUUGUCCAUUUCUUUGUUUGUGACUUGCGGACGCUGCCUCUUUCCUGCUGGCCAACAGAACGCCUGCCUCAGAGCAAUUUCCAACCAACAGCUUAUCCCAGUUUUUGGAAGAAAAAAUUUUUACCCACCCAAAAGAAAUCUUGCCUCAUCUUAACGGACAGUGUGCCCACCUGACUGCACAGUCCAACAACUUCUGCUUGAAUCUAAAAUACACUGAAGUGUUGUCAAUCAACGUAAUUUUGAGAUAAAGACCUUUUUACUGUAUGAUAUCAGGUGAGAAACACGGUGAAUGUAAACUGAAGAGCAGCAAAAUUAAUGCUGAUGAUGUGUGUGUGUGUGUGUGUGUGUGUGUGUGUGUGUGGUUCCCUCUUUAGGUUGUGGAUCUCAGUCUCACAAUGGUCUUGGUGCAUAGUCUUUUCAUAAUCAGAAGAUUCCAAAAUGGUCAAUAUGUAACAACAUGCUUCCAAUACUGCUUUCUCUAACAUGUACUAAAAUCAUAGUUUCAGAGUGAAAUAAAGUGUGACUGGCUGCUCAGAAUAUCAGUGAAUACCAUGUCUGGUCAAAGUAAGCUUUCAAGUACAUUAAAGCUGCAGUUGAUGUCAUAAUAUUAACAAUAGAUAAAAUGACUAGUAUCAUGUGAAAGAUGUCUCUGGUAGUAAUGAAGCCACAGACACUUCACCACCAACUAGAAGUCAAAGUUAGCUGAAGACCAUCUAUCUCUGUUUUACAGAAGUUGGUGGAUACCAAACAAGAACUAAAAAGAGUUUGAAUAUAUAUACUUCCGUUCAUUAAGUGGACACAGCACAACUCCAACAAGAUGCUAAUGUUGCUCUGUGUCUGCACAACAGCAAUGGUUAGAAUGAUAGUACAGUGUGUCAGAAAAAUGGAUUAAAGCAGCUCUAUAUCUUAUGGACUAUACUUUAUGCCUGAAGAAAAACUCUUGGGUGUGAGAGUCUUUCAUGAGGUGAAAAGAGUCAGUACCAUUCCUGAAAUGCACCCCAUCAGUGCUCCUUUGAACAGUGUUUGGGCCCAGGUUUGGACUGACUCCAGACUUGUUCUUUUUUUUUUUGCUGGAGAUAGUCUAUUUAUUCAAACCUUGCUUUCACACUGGUCAAACUAAAAUGUGGGGAAAUGCUCAUGAAGGCAGGUUGUUGUAGCGGUGUAGGGGUUGGUCGGGAUGUUGGGGGUUGGUUACUUUUUGUACACUAUUUAUUUGAUAAGCAUUCAGUGCAUCACUUGUUGUCCGAAAUUUGGCAUAAUUUGACAUGCUGAUACUUGAAUCCAAUCGAUGAUUUCUCAAUCACAGUUUGACUUACGUUGACCAUGGCUGCGUAAUUUUCAGCACAGCUUCAGGUUCACUUAACUGCACUCUGCAGCACAUCAGUCACCUAAAGGCCCGGUCAUCUUGGUCACAAAGGCUCUGUGCUGCAGAGGAGUUCAGUCAAACAAAUCUUUGAUCGUUCAGUAAUAAAUAUCAGCAUCUGAGCGUGUGCAACAACACUCAGCAUCAUUUCUUAGCUGAAAAGAACAACUUUAAUUUGUAAAUUGUGGGUGUACAUAAAAGAAAUAUUCAUUUUUGCUUGCUAUUGUACAAUUAUUUCUUUUUAUGUGCCAUUCAGCAUGAGAUGUUUAUUUUUAGGACAACGCUUGUAAAUACUGUAAUUGUAAUAAUUUUAAGCACAAAUGUAAUACAGUUUUAUUGUGUUACCA
Molecule: long non-coding RNA, 2160 nt
Organism: Larimichthys crocea (large yellow croaker)
Lineage: Eukaryota; Metazoa; Chordata; Actinopteri; Sciaenidae
Exons: 2
Source: RefSeq, a predicted model, not a curated record